UACGUAGGGUCCAAGCGUUGUCCGGAUUUAUUGGGCGUAAAGAGCUCGUAGGCGGCUCGGUAAGUCGGAUGUGAAACCUCCAGGCUCAACCUGGAGUCGCCAUCCGAUACUGCUGUGGCUUGAGUCCGGUAGGGGAGCAUGGAAUUCCUGGUGUAGCGGUGAAAUGCGCAGAUAUCAGGAGGAACACCGGUGGCGAAGGCGGGUCUCUGGGCCGAUACUGACGCUGAGGAGCGAAAGCGUGGGGAGCGAACAGG
This 254-nucleotide ribosomal RNA is filed under the name uncultured bacterium. RNAcentral describes it as "partial 16S ribosomal RNA". It matches the Rfam family "Bacterial small subunit ribosomal RNA", at positions 524 to 776 of the family's 1533-position model. The record is from RNAcentral.